UUUGGCAGCACAUAUACUUAAAAAAAAAAAAAAUUGUUAAAACACAGAGAACACUAGCACAGCCCCUGCUGGAGGAGGACACACAAAUUCGUGAAGUGUUCUAUAUAAUU
RNAcentral lists this small nuclear RNA (110 nucleotides) under Physeter macrocephalus (sperm whale). The record is from RNAcentral. Lineage: Eukaryota; Metazoa; Chordata; Mammalia; Artiodactyla; Physeteridae.